CGUGGCUCGAGGACGAACGCUGGCGGCGUGCCUAAUACAUGCAAGUCGAACGGUCUUUCUAUGGAAGCUUGCUUCCACUGAGAAGAUAGUGGCGAACGGGUGAGUAACACGUGGGUAACCUGCCCAUAAGAGGGGGGAUAACAUCCGGAAACGGGUGCUAAUACCGCAUAGUUUUCUUGAUCGCAUGAUCGGGAAAGGAAAGACGGCCUUUGUGCUGUCGCUUAUGGAUGGACCCGCGGCGUAUUAGUUAGUUGGUGAGGUAACGGCUCACCAAGACGAUGAUACGUAGCCGACCUGAGAGGGUGAUCGGCCACAUUGGGACUGAGACACGGCCCAAACUCCGUACGGGAGGCAGCAGUAGGGAAUCUUCCGCAAUGGACGAAAGUCUGACGGAGCAACGCCGCGUGAGUGAAGGUAAAGGGUUUUCGGAUCGUAAAACUCUGUUGUCAGAGAAGAACAAGUUGGAGAGUAACUGCUCCAGCCUUGACGGUAUCUGACCAGAAAGCCACGGCUAACUACGUGCCAGCCGCAGC
RNAcentral lists this ribosomal RNA (533 nucleotides) under uncultured bacterium. RNAcentral describes it as "bacterial SSU rRNA". It matches the Rfam family "Bacterial small subunit ribosomal RNA", at positions 26 to 518 of the family's 1533-position model. The record is from RNAcentral.